RNAcentral lists this long non-coding RNA (1315 nucleotides) under Olea europaea subsp. europaea. Lineage: Eukaryota; Viridiplantae; Streptophyta; Magnoliopsida; Lamiales; Oleaceae. The record is from RNAcentral.
CCCAAAAUUUUUAUAUUUUUAGUUAUACCCAGUUUUUAUUACAGAUGCCAUCCACACUUCCAAACAUUUAAAACUUUAUUUUCUUCUUCACCCCACCUCAUGUUCUUCCCCAAGUAUUUAGCUCUUAAAGUUUUCCACAAAACCUUUCUUGCAAAACCCAUUGAUAAUAGUAUUACAAGUAACCAAAUUCCUUUCCAGAGGCAUUUCAUCAAACAGUUUCCAGGCAUCAUCGAGCCUGCCCACUUCACACAACCCUUUGAUCAUUAUUGUGUAAGUAGAAACAUUAGUUUCAGAAGACCCUCUUUAAAAAUCUGUCCAAAAUACCCCCAAGCUAAAUCAACCCUAUUGGCCUUAACAAGAGCAACCAAAAGGGUAUUAUAGGAAAAUAAACAAUAACCAGAUUCCCUUUCCUUCAUUUGAUGUAAAAGCUUAACAGCCCACUUCAAAUGGCCUAAAUCACUAGGAGCUUAGAUAAACUUUCCCACCAUAAAAUCUGUCAUGGGAUUUCCAUGAAUCCGCUGCUAAGGAAAAUAAUUUGUGUAAAAUGAGUUUAUCAGUUAUGGCAAUGUAGGAAAAAUGAUUUUGGGUGUAGUUGUUUGGGUUCGACUCAGGCAAGAGGCCAAGUUGAAGAAGAAAAGGCAAUGGUAAGGGCUUGUUCGGCUUUUGAUGGUUUGAAUGGCUAACAUUGGGUUAAGUAUGGGGAGAAGUGGUAGAGAAAUGAAGGGUCUGGGUUUUGCCGGGUGUUGGGGCGUUGGGGGUUCAAGAACUGGAGGAGAGAGGUUAUGGAAAAAGAUGGAGUUACAGGCCAGGCCCAUGCCAGAUGAGAGAGGAGGUGGCGGCGGGCUUCACCUUCUUUUUAUAAUUUCUGUGGGACUGACCCUCUAGAGUGAGGGGACCUAUACAGCCCUUGUGAACCGAGUUCCUGUACAUGGAGUUCGGUCCGAGAGGUUAUACAAGCGAUGAGUGAGAGAGGCUAUGUGAGAGUGUCGAUGCGACGGUGAUGGUGUGUGGAUUAUUGUUCAAAAAUCAAUAAUAUGCACGUGGAAUAAGAAAUGGAGGCCCAAAUGUUAUAAGACCGCAUAGGCCAAAAUGGAUUACGGUCGCAUGACAAAGGCCAUGCCGAUAGUUGAUCUAUGGGGUCACAUAGGUUUGUUUUAUGCGAUCGCAUAGAACAUUCUACAGUCAUUAAUGACCUUUUUGUUUUAAUUUUAGGUGGCCUUUCAUAUAUUUUGGUAUCACUUCGUAUAACGUCGGUUGAUAUCUAUAAAUAUGAGAUAGAUGAUCAAUGUAAACACAUCAAAAACAAAUGUGAUCA